RNAcentral lists this ribosomal RNA (386 nucleotides) under Fromia indica. RNAcentral's name for it is "partial 16S ribosomal RNA". Lineage: Eukaryota; Metazoa; Echinodermata; Asteroidea; Valvatida; Ophidiasteridae. The record is from RNAcentral.
CCUAAUCAUUNCCUCUUAAAUAGAGGCUGGUAUGAAUGNCAAGACGGGAGUUUAACUGUCUCUUUCUUAGGGAAUUAGAAUUUAAUUUUUCUGUGAAGAAGCAGAAAUGUAAUCGUAGGACGAGAAGACCCUGUUGAGCUUUAAACUAAGAAAGUAAAUAUCGAAGACAAAAUUUUUCUAAUAAUAUUACAGAAAUACGAAAAUUAAAUAAGGAUGUUGUGGUAUUUUGCUUUUUUGUUUUGGUUGGGGCAAUCACGGAGAAAAUAUAACCUCCGGUAGGUAAAAAGUAAAAAGAGACUUCUUUUGCUUUAAGUUUUAAAUUUAUAGAAGUGACCCAUUUGGUAGAGUGAGUAAAGGAAUAAGUUCCCACAGGGAAUAACAGCGAA